RNAcentral lists this ribosomal RNA (253 nucleotides) under uncultured bacterium. RNAcentral's name for it is "partial 16S ribosomal RNA". It matches the Rfam family "Bacterial small subunit ribosomal RNA", at positions 524 to 776 of the family's 1533-position model. The record is from RNAcentral.
GACAGAGGUGCCGAGCGUUAGGCGGAAUCACUGGGCUUAAAGCGUGUGUAGGCGGGCCGUUAAGUACCUUGUGAAAUCCCCCGGCUCAACCGGGGAAUGGCUGGGUAUACUGGCGGUCUUGAGCGAUCUAGGGGCAGAUGGAACAAGUGGUGGAGCGGUGAAAUGCGUAGAUAUCACUUGGAACGCCAAAGGUGAAGACAGUCUGCUGGGGAUCUGCUGACGCUGAGACACGAAAGCCAGGGGAGCAAACGGG